GGGAGUAAAUUUAAGUUCAGCAACAUCUGUUACCCCAUUGAUCACCAGGGCUGAUUUGGCUGAUCUGGCUGGCUAAGUGGCUGUCCCCUCCUUCCCUCACUGCUCCAUAUGCAUCCCUCCCGAAGCUGCGCACUCGAUGGAAGAGGAUGAUGUUCUAGAUAUAGAAGGAGUGUACUGAGGUCUCCAGCCUUCGGUCCCGGGUAUACGAUAGCUAUGCUUCCCUGCUAGCACCUCCAAACAAGGUCAAGGUCCACUUAAUUUGUCGAUAGGUAGUAUUCUUUGCAUGCAAGAGAUCUCAAAUUCAAUCUCAAGUUAAAUUAUCCUCAUU
This 328-nucleotide small nuclear RNA is filed under the name Anolis carolinensis (green anole). Its description in RNAcentral is "7SK RNA". It matches the Rfam family "7SK RNA". From Rfam's summary of the family: 7SK was discovered as an abundant small nuclear RNA in the mid-70s but a possible function has only recently been suggested. Two independent studies have found that 7SK RNA binds the CDK9/cyclin T complex (known as elongation factor P-TEFb). The record is from Rfam by way of RNAcentral. Lineage: Eukaryota; Metazoa; Chordata; Lepidosauria; Squamata; Anolidae.